UUGUGAUGACCGUGGCUUUUUCAGUGGUCGAAGAAGAUGACGUUUCGCGGUGGUUGUUGGUUAUUAUUGGAGAGCAAUGAGGGAAGUGGAUCGGUUGUGGGUGGAAUAAUGGAGAAAAGAGAAGUGGUUUGAUGAGAAUUGUAGUGGAUAGGAGAUGAUGAGGGUGGUGUUACGGUGGUGUGUUGGGUUGCUCCGACGAUGGUUUGUAGAAGGAGGUUGAAGUGGUGGUGGUCGGGUUUGAAGGGCGAUGGAUGGAGAGGUGUGAAGGAUGGAUGUUAGGUCAGAGGUAGAGCU
This 294-nucleotide long non-coding RNA is filed under the name Lathyrus oleraceus (garden pea). RNAcentral's name for it is "Pisum sativum (pea) long non-coding RNA (PSAT_LNC019668)". Lineage: Eukaryota; Viridiplantae; Streptophyta; Magnoliopsida; Fabales; Fabaceae. The record is from RNAcentral.